RNAcentral lists this ribosomal RNA (253 nucleotides) under uncultured bacterium. RNAcentral's name for it is "partial 16S ribosomal RNA". It matches the Rfam family "Bacterial small subunit ribosomal RNA", at positions 524 to 776 of the family's 1533-position model. The record is from RNAcentral.
UACGUAGGGCGCAAGCGUUGUCCGGAAUUAUUGGGCGUAAAGAGCUCGUAGGCGGUCUGUCGCGUCCGUUGUGAAAACUCGAGGCUCAACCUCGGGCUUGCAGUGGAUACGGGCAGACUGGAGUGCGGUAGGGGAGACUGGAAUUCCUGGUGUAGCGGUGAAAUGCGCAGAUAUCAGGAGGAACACCGAUGGCGAAGGCAGGUCUCUGGGCAUUAACUGACGCUGAGGAGCGAAAGCAUGGGGAGCGAACAGG